UCUUCUUUAUCUCCUAUGUUUCUAUCAUCAUUCGUCUAAAGUCUAAACGGUCAUUUAGCUCAUGUACUCAACUUUUAAACACUAACAGUGUUUCUAUUUAACCUUAUAUUUAAAUGACAACUUUACCCGUUUAAGUGAUCGUCUUGUCUAAGGCUAAACGAUAUGUAACCAAUUGUUUGUCAUUUGAUGUUAGGAUCUACUACUAAUUAAUUUUGUCUCGUUUAACUACUUGUUUUUAUUGUGAUUCUUUUCAUGGCCAAAGAAAUAGAUUGAUCAGGUGAAGGUUACAGGUCUG
RNAcentral lists this long non-coding RNA (295 nucleotides) under Sorghum bicolor (sorghum). Its description in RNAcentral is "long non-coding RNA (SBIC_LNC000653)". Lineage: Eukaryota; Viridiplantae; Streptophyta; Magnoliopsida; Poales; Poaceae. The record is from RNAcentral.